ACUAAUAUAGUUUAUAAGUAAAAUAACUGAUUUGUAAUCAGUAGAAUAUGAGUUCGACUCUCAUUAUUAGUU
Babesia microti strain RI is the source of this 72-nucleotide transfer RNA. It matches the Rfam family "tRNA". Rfam says of the family: Transfer RNA (tRNA) molecules are approximately 80 nucleotides in length. Their secondary structure includes four short double-helical elements and three loops (D, anti-codon, and T loops). The record is from Rfam. NCBI's taxonomy places the organism in Eukaryota, Apicomplexa, Aconoidasida, Piroplasmida, Babesiidae.